Molecule: ribosomal RNA, 460 nt
Filed under: uncultured bacterium
Lineage: Bacteria
Description: partial 16S ribosomal RNA
Rfam family: Bacterial small subunit ribosomal RNA
Source: RNAcentral
CCUACGGGAGGCAGCAGUGAGGAAUAUUGGUCAAUGGACGAGAGUCUGAACCAGCCAAGUAGCGUGAAGGAUGACUGCCCUAUGGGUUGUAAACUUCUUUUAUAAAGGAAUAAAACGAGGCACGUGUGCCUUUUUGCAUGUACUUUAUGAAUAAGGAUCGGCUAACUCCGUGCCAGCAGCCGCGGUAAUACGGAGGAUCCGAGAGUUAUCCGGAUUUAUUGGGUUUAAAGGGAGCGUAGAUGGGUUGUUAAGUCAGUUGUGAAAGUUUGCGGCUCAACCGUAAAAUUGCAAUUGAUACUGGCAGUCGUGAGUACAGUUGAGGUAGGCGGAAUUCGUGGUGUAGCGGUGAAAUGCUUAGAUAUCACGAAGAACCCCGAUUGCGAAGGCAGCUUACUAAACUGUGACUGACAUUGAUGCUCGAAAGUGUGGGUAUCAAACAGGAUUAGAUACCCGAGUAGUC